UCAGAUUGAACGCUGGCGGCAUGCUUUACACAUGCAAGUCGAACGGCAGCAUGGGCUUCGGCCUGAUGGCGAGUGGCGAACGGGUGAGUAAUACAUCGGAACGUGCCUAGUAGUGGGGGAUAACUACUCGAAAGAGUAGCUAAUACCGCAUGAGAUCUACGGAUGAAAGCAGGGGACCUUCGGGCCUUGUGCUACUAGAGCGGCUGAUGGCAGAUUAGGUAGUUGGUGGGGUAAAGGCUCACCAAGCCUGCGAUCUGUAGCUGGUCUGAGAGGACGACCAGCCACACUGGGACUGAGACACGGCCCAGACUCCUACGGGAGGCAGCAGUGGGGAAUUUUGGACAAUGGGCGAAAGCCUGAUCCAGCAAUGCCGCGUGCAGGAUGAAGGCCCUCGGGUUGUAAACUGCUUUUGUACGGAACGAAAAGACUUCUUCUAAUACAGGAGGUCCAUGACGGUACCGUAAGAAUAAGCACCGGCUAACUACGUGCCAG
Molecule: ribosomal RNA, 492 nt
Filed under: Comamonas sp. G4
Lineage: Bacteria; Pseudomonadati; Pseudomonadota; Betaproteobacteria; Burkholderiales; Comamonadaceae
Description: bacterial SSU rRNA
Rfam family: Bacterial small subunit ribosomal RNA
Source: RNAcentral